This 74-nucleotide transfer RNA is filed under the name Elusimicrobiota bacterium. Its description in RNAcentral is "Elusimicrobia bacterium (anaerobic digester metagenome) tRNA-Arg". It matches the Rfam family "tRNA". From Rfam's summary of the family: Transfer RNA (tRNA) molecules are approximately 80 nucleotides in length. Their secondary structure includes four short double-helical elements and three loops (D, anti-codon, and T loops). Lineage: Bacteria; Pseudomonadati; Elusimicrobiota. The record is from RNAcentral.
GCGCCUGUAGCUCAAUUGGAUAGAGCAUCUGACUACGGAUCAGAAGGUUACAGGUUCGACCCCUGUCAGGCGCG